RNAcentral lists this ribosomal RNA (468 nucleotides) under uncultured bacterium. Its description in RNAcentral is "bacterial SSU rRNA". It matches the Rfam family "Bacterial small subunit ribosomal RNA", at positions 29 to 506 of the family's 1533-position model. The record is from RNAcentral.
ACGAACGCUGGCGGCGUGCUUAACACAUGCAAGUCGAACGAGGCCCAACUGGUGGCAACACCAGGGAAGGCCUAGUGGCGAACGGGUGAGUAACACGUGAGGAACCUGCCCCGAAGACUGGGAUAACUCUCCGAAAGGAGUGCUAAUACCAGAUGUCCUCUUACGGUCGCAUGGCUGUUUGAGGAAAGGUCCGCUGCUUCGGGAGGGCCUCGCGGCCUAUCAGCUUGUUGGUGGGGUAACGGCCCACCAAGGCGACGACGGGUAGCUGGUCUGAGAGGACGAUCAGCCACACUGGGACUGAGACACGGCCCAGACUCCUACGGGAGGCAGCAGUGGGGAAUCUUGCGCAAUGGGCGAAAGCCUGACGCAGCAACGCCGCGUGCGGGAUGACGGCCUUCGGGUUGUAAACCGCUUUCAGUGGGGACGAAAACAGACGGUACCCACAGAAGAAGCCCCGGCCAACUACGU